UACGUAGGGACCAAGCGUUGUUCGGAUUUACUGGGCGUAAAGGGCGCGUAGGCGGCAUGACAAGUCACUUGUGAAAUCUCCGGGCUUAACUCGGAACGGUCAAGUGAUACUGUCGCGCUAGAGUGCGGAAGGGGCAAUCAGAAUUCUUGGUGUAGCGGUGAAAUGCGUAGAUAUCAAGAGGAAUACCUGAGGUGAAGACGGGUUGCUAGGCCGACACUGACGCUGAUGCGCGAAAGCCAGGGGAGCGAACGGG
This 253-nucleotide ribosomal RNA is filed under the name uncultured bacterium. Its description in RNAcentral is "partial 16S ribosomal RNA". It matches the Rfam family "Bacterial small subunit ribosomal RNA", at positions 524 to 776 of the family's 1533-position model. The record is from RNAcentral.